This 554-nucleotide ribosomal RNA is filed under the name Chiasmocleis bassleri (Bassler's humming frog). RNAcentral describes it as "Syncope bassleri (Bassler's humming frog) partial 16S ribosomal RNA". It matches the Rfam family "Bacterial large subunit ribosomal RNA", at positions 1819 to 2597 of the family's 2925-position model. The record is from RNAcentral. Lineage: Eukaryota; Metazoa; Chordata; Amphibia; Anura; Microhylidae.
GGCUUUGUGACAAAAUAUAGAAGGUCCAGCCUGCCCAGUGACAAAGUUAAACGGCCGCGGUACCCUAACCGUGCGAAGGUAGCGCAAUCACUUGUUCUUUAAAUAAGGACUAGUAUGAAUGGCAUCACGAGGAUUAUACUGUCUCCCCCCUUUAAUCAGUGAAACUGAUCUCCCCGUGAAGAAGCGGGAAUUAUUUUAUAAGACGAGAAGACCCUAUGGAGCUUUAAACCUAGCACCACGUACCUUAAAUUAUUUCAUAAAAAACAGGUAAAGCUUGCGUACUGGUUUUCGGUUGGGGUGACCACGGAGCAAAACAAAACCUCCAUGUUGAAAAGAAUUUUUCUUAAUCCAAGAACAACAUUUCAAAGAAUCAGAAUACUGACAUAAUUGAUCCAAACAAUUUUGAUCAACGAACCAAGUUACCCUAGGGAUAACAGCGCAAUCCAUUUCAAGAGCUCAUAUCGACAAAUGGGUUUACGACCUCGAUGUUGGAUCAGGGUAUCCCAGUGGUGCAGCCGCUACUAAAGGUUCGUUUGUUCAACGAUUAAAACCCU